CUACACGACCGUACCGCAAACCGACACUGGUGCGCGAGAUGAGUAUUCUAAGGCGCUUGAGAGAACUCAGGAGAAGGAACUCGGCAAAUUGACACCGUAACUUCGGAAGAAGGUGUGCCUUUAGUAGGUGAACCUGUACAAGGGGAGCCCAAUGAGGUUGCAAAAAAUCGGUGGCUGCGACUGUUUAAUAAAAACACAGCACUCUGCAAACACGAAAGCGGACGUAUAGGGUGUGACGCCUGCCCGGUGCUGGAAGAUUAAAUGAUGGGGUGCAAGCUCUUGAUUGAAGUCCCAGUAAACGGCGGCCGUAACGAUAACGGUCCUAAGGUAGCGAAAUUCCUUGUCGGGUAAGUUCCGACCUGCACGAAUGGCGUAACGAUGGCCACACUGUCUCCUCCUGAGACUCAGCGAAGUUGAAAUGUUUGUGAUGAUGCAAUCUCCCCGCGGAAAGACGGAAAGACCCCAUGAACCUUUACUGUAGCUUUGUAUUGGACUUUGAACAGAUCUGUGUAGGAUAGGUGGGAGGCUUUGAAGUGUGGUCGCUAGAUCGCAUGGAGCCAACGUUGAAAUACCACCCUGGUGUGUUUGAGGUUCUAACCUAGGCCCGUAAUCCGGGUCGGGGACAGUGCAUGGUAGGCAGUUUGACUGGGGCGGUCUCCUCCCAAAGCGUAACGGAGGAGUUCGAAGGUACGCUAGGUACGGUCGGACAUCGUGCUAAUAGUGCAAUGGCAUAAGCGUGCUUAACUGCGAGACUGACAAGUCGAGCAGAUGCGAAAGCAGGACAUAGUGAUCCGGUGGUUCUGUAUGGAAGGGCCAUCGCUCAACGGAUAAAAGGUACUCUGGGGAUAACAGGCUGAUACCGCCCAAGAGUUCAUAUCGACGGCGGUGUUUGGCACCUCGAUGUCGGCUCAUCUCAUCCUGGGGCUGUAGCCGGUCCCAAGGGUAUGGCUGUUCGCCAUUUAAAGAGGUACGUGAGCUGGGUUUAAAACGUCGUGAGACAGUUUGGUCCCUAUCUUCCGUGGGCGCUGCAGAUUUGAGGAAGCCUGCUCCUAGUACGAGAGGACCGGAGUGGACACACCUCUGGUGUAUCGGUUGUCACGCCAGUGGCAUUGCCGAGUAGCUAUGUGUGGAAGAGAUAACCGCUGAAAGCAUCUAAGCGGGAAACUCGUUUCAAGAUGAGAUCUGCCGGGGCCUUGAGCCCCCUAAAGAGUCGUUCAAGACCAGGACGUUGAUAGGUCGGGUGUGGAAGCGCAGUAAUGCGUUAAGCUAACCGAUACUAAUUGCUCGUGCGGCUUGACCC
Molecule: ribosomal RNA, 1300 nt
Filed under: metagenome
Description: bacterial LSU rRNA
Rfam family: Bacterial large subunit ribosomal RNA
Source: RNAcentral